UUUUAUUUGAGAGUUUGAUCCUGGCUCAGGAUGAACGCUGGCGGCGUGCCUAACACAUGCAAGUUGAGCGAUUUACUUCGGUAAAGAGCGGCGGACGGGUGAGUAACGCGUGGGUAACCUACCCUGUACACACGGAUAACAUACCGAAAGGUAUGCUAAUACGGGAUAAUAUAUUUGAGAGGCAUCUCUUGAAUAUCAAAGGUGAGCCAGUACAGGAUGGACCCGCGUCUGAUUAGCUAGUUGGUAAGGUAACGGCUUACCAAGGCGACGAUCAGUAGCCGACCUGAGAGGGUGAUCGGCCACAUUGGAACUGAGACACGGUCCAAACUCCUACGGGAGGCAGCAGUGGGGAAUAUUGCACAAUGGGCGAAAGCCUGAUGCAGCAACGCCGCGUGAGUGAUGAAGGCCUUCGGGU
Molecule: ribosomal RNA, 415 nt
Filed under: Clostridioides difficile
Lineage: Bacteria; Bacillati; Bacillota; Clostridia; Peptostreptococcales; Peptostreptococcaceae
Description: bacterial SSU rRNA
Rfam family: Bacterial small subunit ribosomal RNA
Source: RNAcentral